AUCAGUCUGUCGAAGUUUUAAUACGCCUUCCCUGUAAAUAUGUUCAAAAUCCUCGCAGUGCAAAUAUAAUUGCUAAAGUCUCCAGCUCAAAACUGUGGUAGUUCGCUUCCGCAUCCGAUUUAUGCUUGGAAAAACAGAAUAUGCUAUACCAUUUUCCAUCUUGUUUCCUUUGUCUCUAUACAGCUCCAAAUCCCAAAGCAUCGUUAACUUUAUAAUCAUAAAUUUAUAACACCACUGCGCAGGCGCUACACCCAAUCUAUGGUAACCAUAAACAGGUGAUAUAUCCACGAAGUUUUUAGAAUUUAAAGUGGGCUUUCGGGGUCAUGGUCUGGUAGAAAAAAAUGGACGUAAAUGGGCCUACUGUACAAACUAGUAAUUUUAAAGGAUCAAACAGUUCGGUAAAGCAAUGUGAUAAGACCCAUAAGUGAGAUAUUUUUAUAUUUUAAGGGGAACCUCGUCAGAAAGACGAUGAACACACAGCAUCCGAAGCUGUCAAGGAAGUCAAAGAUGAGAAUAAAACGGAAUUAACAAAUUCAUUGUUUAGUGGAAUUUCUCUACUCCCGUUCAUUGAACGGAAAGAAGAAAGUUAGGAAUGAAAUACCUACAUCAAAUCUUUCUUGGAAUUCUGCGAAACCACAAUCGACUUGUCUCGUAAAUAUAUGUUUACUAUUCUCGUAAUUCAGAGCCGACCAUUCUUCUUACAAAAAUUGACUAAGCAGAUUUGUCUUUUUUAUACCAUGUGUUACGGAACUGGUUUCCCUGGGUCCAGUCCCAUUCUUGCCCCGCAGUCCUACCUACCAUGAGACGAUCACCUACUCGUCUCCCACAUUUUGGUAAUUUGAUGGCCUGCAUCCGCCUGUGCCGGCUAUUGUACCAACUCUCCCCAUCAUCGAAAAUUUAGCCGGACAUUUCUCUCUUCAGGAUAUCUCUAAGCUGCUAUAUAUAAAUUGUGAGGCGGCUAAUGAGACCAGCCACCCC
Long non-coding RNA from Drosophila virilis, 978 nucleotides. RefSeq lists it as uncharacterized. Lineage: Eukaryota; Metazoa; Arthropoda; Insecta; Diptera; Drosophilidae. The record is from RefSeq and is a predicted model, not a curated record.